GACGAACGCUGGCGGCGUGCUUAACACAUGCAAGUCGAACGGUGAACCCGACUUCGGUCGGGGGAUCAGUGGCGAACGGGUGAGUAACACGUGAGCAACCUGCCCCUAGCUCUGGGAUAACCCCGGGAAACCGGAGCUAAUACCGGAUACGAGACCGAGCGGCAUCACGCGGUCUGGAAAGUUUUUCGGCUAGGGAUGGGCUCGCGGCCUAUCAGCUUGUUGGUGGGGUAACGGCCUACCAAGGCGACGACGGGUAGCCGGCCUGAGAGGGCGACCGGCCACACUGGGACUGAGACACGGCCCAGACUCCUACGGGAGGCAGCAGUGGGGAAUAUUGCGCAAUGGGCGAAAGCCUGAUCCAGCAACGCCGCGUGAGGGAUGACGGCCUUCGGUUGUAACC
RNAcentral lists this ribosomal RNA (400 nucleotides) under uncultured bacterium. RNAcentral's name for it is "bacterial SSU rRNA". It matches the Rfam family "Bacterial small subunit ribosomal RNA", at positions 28 to 430 of the family's 1533-position model. The record is from RNAcentral.